GACGCCUGUGAAUGAAUACACACCAGCAUGCCCCAAUGCAACAGCCUUCACAGUGCCGGAGACUGCAGCUUUCGGCACUGCUGUGGGGCGCAUUGCUGGCACCGACCGCGACUACCCACCAGACAGCAUCAAGUACAGUCUCGAAGGGGGCCUGGGCUCUGCCCAACCCUUCUCCAUCGAUGCACAUACUGGCAAGAUCUAUGUGGUGGGGCCCCUGGACUAUGAGCGGCAGAAGAGCUACAGGUUGACAGUGAGGCUAACGGACACCCACAACGAUCUGGACCCGGCAAACCAGCGGAGCUGCCUGUGUGAUGUGGCCGUGCACCUGCAGGCCAUGCUCAACAAGGCGCCGGAGUGCACCCCUGAGGUGCAGGAACUGCGGAUCACAUCCAAGCCAGCCACCCGCCAGCCUAUCACCCGCCUAGCAUGCCAGGGCAGCCGUGGUGGUGCCACACUGUCCUAUGCCAUCAUCAGAGGUGAGGAGCGGCUGAUCUGCUGCAUAGCCCAGCCUCUCACUGUGGCCUGGGCCCUCAGCAGACCCUCUUGUCCAGGCAAUGAGGACAGGCAUUUUCGGCUGGAGGGGAACACCCUUUUCCAUGUCCCCAAUGGCCUUGCCGAGCCCCGAACCUUUGUGCUGCUGGUGGAGGUGUGGGGCAGCCCUAGUGUCCCCCGCCGCAGCACCACAGUGAUGCUGAUGGUGCAUGUCAUCCCCCGGACCACCAUGGUGCCGCCCAGGACCACUGCCCAACACACGACACUGUGGAAGGAGCCACUGGUCAUCACACGGACAGAGGCGACCUGG
This 802-nucleotide long non-coding RNA is filed under the name Struthio camelus australis. RNAcentral's name for it is "lncRNA (ENSSCUG00000013581.1)". The record is from RNAcentral. Lineage: Eukaryota; Metazoa; Chordata; Aves; Struthioniformes; Struthionidae.